This 253-nucleotide ribosomal RNA is filed under the name uncultured bacterium. RNAcentral describes it as "partial 16S ribosomal RNA". It matches the Rfam family "Bacterial small subunit ribosomal RNA", at positions 524 to 776 of the family's 1533-position model. The record is from RNAcentral.
UACGUAGGGUGCAAGCGUUAAUCGGAAUUACUGGGCGUAAAGCGUGCGCAGGCGGUUUUGUAAGUCUGACGUGAAAGCCCCGGGCUCAACCUGGGAAUGGCAAUGGAUACUGGCAGGCUAGAGUGCGGUAGAGGGUAGUGGAAUUCCCGGUGUAGCGGUGAAAUGCGUAGAGAUCGGGAGGAACACCAGUGGCGAAGGCGGCUACCUGGACCAGCACUGACACUGAGGCACGAAAGCGUGGGGAGCAAACAGG